RNAcentral lists this ribosomal RNA (253 nucleotides) under uncultured bacterium. Its description in RNAcentral is "partial 16S ribosomal RNA". It matches the Rfam family "Bacterial small subunit ribosomal RNA", at positions 524 to 776 of the family's 1533-position model. The record is from RNAcentral.
UACGAAGGGGGCUAGCGUUGCUCGGAAUUACUGGGCGUAAAGCGCACGUAGGCGGCUUGUUAAGUCAGGGGUGAAAUCCUGGAGCUCAACUCCAGAACUGCCUUUGAUACUGGCGAGCUUGAGUUCGGGAGAGGUGAGUGGAACUGCGAGUGUAGAGGUGAAAUUCGUAGAUAUUCGCAAGAACACCAGUGGCGAAGGCGGCUAACUGGUCCGGUUCUGACGCUGAGGCGCGAAAGCGUGGGGAGCAAACAGG